ACUCAAAGGAAUUGACGGGGGCCCGCACAAGCAGCGGAGCGUGUGGUUUAAUUCGAUGCAACGCGAAGAACCUUACCCGGGCUUGACAUGCAGGUGGUACCCGAGGGAAACCGAGGGGACCCGCGAGGGAGCCUGCACAGGUGCUGCACGGCUGUCGUCAGCUCGUGCCGUGAGGUGUUGGGUUAAGUCCCGCAACGAGCGCAACCCCCGCCGCCAGUUACCACGUCUGGCGGGACCGCCGGGACCAACCCGGAGGAAGGUGGGGACGACGUCAAGUCAGCAUGGCCCUUACGUCCGGGGCGACACACACGCUACAAUGGCCGGGACAAUGGGCCGCGAAGGGGCGACCCGGAGCCAAUCCCAGCAAACCCGGCCCCAGUUCGGAUCGGAGGCUGCAACCCGCCUCCGUGAAGUCGGAGUUGCUAGUAACCGCCGGUCAGCACACGGCGGUGAAUGCGUUCCCGGGCCUUGCACACACCGCCCGU
RNAcentral lists this ribosomal RNA (485 nucleotides) under uncultured bacterium. Its description in RNAcentral is "partial 16S ribosomal RNA". It matches the Rfam family "Bacterial small subunit ribosomal RNA", at positions 899 to 1397 of the family's 1533-position model. The record is from RNAcentral.